Molecule: long non-coding RNA, 1385 nt
Organism: Vicia villosa (hairy vetch)
Lineage: Eukaryota; Viridiplantae; Streptophyta; Magnoliopsida; Fabales; Fabaceae
Exons: 8
Source: RefSeq, a predicted model, not a curated record
UCCUCUUUCAAUUUCAAAAGUUCAAGCUCUCAUUGAAUCAUGUACAACAAAAUAUAAGGGUUUUUUAGAUAAAGUAAACUCAAAUAUAUAAACCCUACAAUGAAACGAAAGCAAGACGAUGGUUUAUCCUGUAGAAGGAAAAACGAGAUAUCUCCUAUGAAACGAAUACAAGAUUCGCUGCUUCACGGCUUCCUUCAAACAAAAAUCGGUGUUUACGACGGCCAUGGUGAGGGUGCUGAAACAAAUUGUAGUUUACUAUUGUAAGGUCCUUUAAUUGGAUUGGACCUAUAAUGGACUCCAUUCACGGCAUGACAGUCCAAGUGAGGGUGUUCCUCGGGUUCUUGUAUGCUUCAGCAAUAAUCUUAUCAGAGGAGAGCCCCUCAAGCUUGUUGACGCUGGAGAAUCCUAAAGAACCUUUGUUUACAUCAAAGAUACUAUUGAGGUUUUCCUAUUGAUGAUGGUAGGUUAUGCGAUGUUAUGUUCCUCUAAUAUUUAUUAUUGUUGUCGGUUCCUCUGCUAAAGAUUUUGUGACAUGUUAGUCGAUAGGAAAACCCCACUAGAGCCAAUGACCACAUCUCCAAUGUAGGUAACCCAAACAAUGAGGUUAUAGUUAGGAAGCUUGCUGAAAUGAUGAUCCAGGUCUAUUCAAAGGUAAGUGGAGAUUAACCUCUUGAAACAUCUACAAUCGAUGUGAGCUCGAAAGAAUUUCACAAUGAAGGAUAUGAUGACAGUGACAAGAUAAUUAUUGACAUGGCCAUAAUCAAUAAGAAGCUCGUGUAAACAACAUGGAGCUAAUAUGGCAUUAAGAAAACCUUUGGGUAGCAGCCCCUGACUGCUAUAGUAACUGUCAACAGAUUGUUUAGUCUUGCAACUGCUCUUGCUGCGUGAUAGUGUUACCCCUAUGUUUCGAAAUUGUGAGCUCUCUCUUCCUUAUCAAUGUUUUAUAUAAGACGCGAAGGGAUACAUAUUUGUUGUUGGGUGAUCAGUGGGAGGCGACGUGCACCUGCAUGGCGCUGAGUAUUGCAGCUUGUAUGUUGGGGGCUUGGGUGAUCAAGUAUUUCUUUACUUGAUUUUGUGUUGUGCAUGAUGGAUUCUUAGAGUUUGAAGAAAUUAAAUCUUGCUGCAGUGGACCAGUAACUUCAGUCUGAUAGUGAUGUUGGUAAGCUAAACUCAGAUCUGGUUGCUACCACCUCCACCAAUCUUGUUUUGUACAGUUGCUUUUAAGGAUGAAGGUGCAUCUUAGCUAUAGAUUCAUGUGUGAAACAAGGUGAAGUAAGAGGCUGCAUGACUAUUUUGUUCUCUGCCACCACAUGGAUUCAAUGUUUCUGGAACUUCGCUUAUUACUUUUAUUUUAGGAUAAGUUGCUUCUGUUAAAUUCUAUUAAC